Molecule: long non-coding RNA, 34923 nt
Filed under: Eucalyptus grandis
Lineage: Eukaryota; Viridiplantae; Streptophyta; Magnoliopsida; Myrtales; Myrtaceae
Description: long non-coding RNA (EGRA_LNC000520)
Source: RNAcentral
UUUUUCAUCAUUAACAACUUUGAAGUUCGAAGAGAUGUUAACAUGGAGGGAUUGGUCUCCUUAUGUCGAGGGCCCAGAAGAAGAAGUUUCAUUCUCCUGUCUUAUGCAUCUUGUUGUCCGAGGCUGUCCUCUGCUGGUCGGGACAUUACCUUAUCGACUUGAUCAUCUCAUAAAGCUUGAAAUUUGUUCAUGUCCGCAUUUGAAUAACUCAACCAAUGAUGUUUCUCUUCCAUCUCUCCGUGAGUUAUACCUUGAGGUUUGUGACAAGGAGAUAUUGAAGUGUUUGGUCAACCUAACUUCUUUGACCAUUCUAAGAAUUGAGAAUAUUUCAGAGCUUGUCUACUUUGAUCAUGGGUUUAUGAGCUACUUGAUCAAGCUAAAGGAGCUUCGUAUAAGAGGGUGUGACCAAUUAAAAUACUUGUGGCAAGAUGGAAAUGAAAUGCUAAAUCUCACUUGUCUCCAGGAAUUAACCAUCAAAGAUUGUCCUCAGUUCACAUCAUUCGUGCCAAGAGAAAGAGAAAUAGAGCUGCCGUGCAACCUUGAAAAGAUGGGAUUGAGUAAUUGCACCAAUUUUGAAAAGCUUCCGAGCAAGAUGUACACACUCAGUUAUUUGUCUAUUUAUGGGUGUCCAAAACUCAUAAGACCAACCAUUUCUUCGUAUGACCCCAACAGCAACAACCCGAUGUCUCAACUUCAAUCUUCAUGUACAAUUAAAUGUGAUUCUCUAACAUAUUUCCCCUUAGCCAAAGGUAGACUUGCUACUUUGAAGGAAUUUUAUAUUCAAGACUGCAAGGGAGUGGAGUCGUUGGAAGAGAUCAUCGUAGAAUCGCUCAAAUGUAUGAGUAUUCGCAAUUGUGAGAAUCUAAGAAGCCUACCACAAUGCCUUCACACGCUCUCCCAUCUCACUAGCUUGUGUAUAAGUGACUGUCCAGCACUGGAGAUAGAGGACCCUCCUGCCCUUCCCCUCACCCUAUCAGUUCUCAUGCUUGAGAGAUGUUUAAAGAUAAAAUCUAUUGCCAGCUUUGGUAAUCUCACUAUUUUGGAAAUAAGGGAGUGUCCAGCAUUGGAGAUGGAGAAUUUCCCUCCCCUACCCAUAACCUUGUCUUAUCUUACACUUGAGGAAUGUCCAAAGCUAAAGUCUCUGCCAAAUCGCUGGCGUCAUCUUACAUCCCUCUUGUGCAUAUGUAUUGCACGUUGCCAAAAUAUCAAAUGCUUGCCCGAAGGAGGUUUGCCUCCCAAUUUAGAGACCCUCGUUAUUUAUGGGUGCGAGAAUCUGGAGCCAGAGCCAGUUAGAGAAUGGGGCUUUCACCGGCUCACGUCCCUCACGUUUCUAAAUAUUGACGGAAGAAUCAUGGAAGGGGAGGGAGAGAAGGCGCGGUUUCCUUCGGGGGACGAGGACGAGGAGGAUGCGUGGCGUCUUCUCUAUCCUUCCUCUCUAACAGAUCUUCAUAUAACAAAUAUGAGGAACGUGGAAAGAUUAUCACGCGGUCUUCGGAACCAUCUCUCCUCUCUCCAACAGUUAUGGAUUAGAGAUUGCCCGAAGUUGAGGGACUUGCCAGAGGAUGGCCUCCCUCCCUCCCUCCAUUAUCUGCAGAUAAUAGGAUGCGAGAAUCUGAAAGAUCGAUGCUCAAAACACACCGGCGACUAUUGGCCCCUCAUCCAAGGGAUCCGUUCCAUCUUCAUUGAUGGCUCUUCGAUCCAAUAAAUUGAUUUAUGUACAUGAACAAACAUAUGAUUGUGGAAACUCCAAAUAUAUGAGGAUAUUCUCCAAACAUUACGAGACAAGUACUUGUGGACGAAAUGUAUUUUAUAUCGAUUCCUCUAACCACUGAUGUGCAUUCUUGAAAGUCUUGGUCUUUGUUUAUUGUUUUUGGUAGGUGAAAGACUUGGUCUUCCUGCCUUUAUAGUUUUCUCUCUCCCUUAUCUCUUUAUCACUUAGAUUCACCAUCACCCAUGCCUGUCCCCGUGCUCAACAGUGUUCUCCUCCUGCUCGUCUGAACCUAGUGGUCUUGCUUGCUGGAUUGCUGUCAUUGAUCUCAUCCCAUUCACCGGUUUGCUCCAGGAAGUCUACUCGGAAAAGGUAAGAGACAUCUAUCUUCUUGCUAUGUUUUUCCCUCAAACUGAUGCAGACGCAACUUUGCUACCUAAAGCAUCUGGUGGGCAUUUAUUACCCGAGAGCAACCACCUAUUCUUUCUUAAAUCUUUCUAUUAGUGGAGGCAAAGAAGAGGCAACAGCAGCAACAAAAGUUUGGUUCUUAAACCGAUUUCAUGCCUAUCUAUGAUCCUGAUUAAAGUUGAUGUCAAAUACUUGAUGUCGAGUUUAAUAACAAAAAACUAUUACUUCAAUUUUUGUUAGAUAGUAAUAUUAGGACAUUAAGAUUAAUUUUUAAUCUCUCCAUCAUUGAUCUCUUUACUAAACACACACUGACGUGAAAUAAUUUUGCUAAGUACAAGUUUGGGAUUUUACAUGAAACAAUCAUAUAUCGGUUUGGAAUUUUAGUCCAUAUUGGCUAAACAACAAUAAAUAUUGGAAGAGGAUAGCUUCAUUCCUCUUAGAAGAGAUUCCUGGGAAAUUCACAUUUGCUACAGUUCUGCGGUGCCAAAAAAAUAAAUAAUUUUUGUUGUGUCUUUUCACAUGUUCACUCCUAUGGUAGAUUUACCAUCAACGGAAGGGAGUAAGGUGAAUUAAUAAGGUGUUUGCGAUUUAGUAUUCUUUUAAAGUGUGCCAGUGUAAUCAAUCGAGUUAAGUCAAUUCAAUCGCAAAUUCAACUUCACAUGAAGUAGUCUAUGCCGAAGCCCUAAGGGUGUUGCAUGUGGACGACUUGUUUUCAUUGUGCGAAAACCGAUGAUAGUUCAGUGUUGGAAAACUUAUUCAUGUUUUUUCUUUCAAGAUAGAGAAAAAUGUGAAGGUGUUCACAAUAAAAAAUUAAAUUUUGAAUUAUGGAAAUCAAAAUUGUGCUUUGUUAGAAAAAGACCAUGUGAAGACUUAGUGUUUUGUUAGAGAAAAAGGUAUUCCUACGUCAGAAUAGUUUCUGAGAUUGUUCCAUCUUUUAUAAUGCGCAUUAAUUUGGUAUUAAACAGAAUUCACAUAUUUUUCAACCCUAAAAAGCCCAACUUGUCAUUUUAUAUUGUACACUCCUAAAAGUGAGUAACUUUCUUAUAUUUGUUGAGUCCCCCUUUUAAGUUCUAAUUCAUGCUAAAGAAUCUUUAGUCGGUCAUUUUUAAUUUUAAUUUUUGAAGGCGUCAACAAAAUUAUGAUAUAUAAUCAAUUGGUGGGGCUGUGAAGCCAAGAGCACAUCACUCCAUGGAUUUAAUCUCUCUCUCUCUCUCUCUCUCUCUCUCUCUCUCUCUCUCUCUCUCUCUCUCUCUCUCUCUCUCUCUCUCUCUCUAUAUAUAUAUAUAUAUAUAUAAUCUAUUUUCCCUUUGAGCCCGAGAGAGAGGGGACCAAUAAUGCAUGUAAUCGGCGAAUUAAGGGUUUAGUACAUGUNNNNNNNNNNNNNNNNNNNNNNNNNNNNNNNNNNNNNNNNNNNNNNNNNNNNNNNNNNNNNNNNNNNNNNNNNNNNNNNNNNNNNNNNNNNNNNNNNNNNUAUAUGGGACCGAUCUUUGGUCCCUAUCGGUGAACAUGAUCCAAUAAUUGUUUUAGUAUAUACAUAGCCUCCAUGAUACCUUAGAUACUUGGGUAAACUAAGGUUAUGCCAAGCACUAAUGACAAAAAUUAUCCAAUCUAUCCAAUCGUGAAAUUUGGUUGGACUCUAAAAAUUUCUCUCCAUCAUUCUUAAGUCCAGCCGAUAUGGGUCUCUACUCUUUAACGUGUAAAAUGCAAGAACAUAAAAACUUCAAAUACUUUAACUACUUUGAUAGAACAAGAGGAAUGUAAUGGAAAAUCCAUAUAGGAUUAGAAGUCAGAUACAGAUCUUAAUAUCCAGGCCUGCACUGCCAUUCCUAUGAUAAGAGAGGUGAAAUGCGAGCAAUAAGCAAGCGAUUACAGCCACGUCCAGGAAGGAUCAUUCAACCAUCCCGCACCUCCUAAAAUUAAGGAAUCUCGAGUUACCAAAGCAAGUAUAAAUAGCUUGGAAAUAACCAUUUGAUAGUUAAAACUUGUCGAUAUCUAAAUUUUGCUCUAAGGUCGUUUUCAUAUAUUUUUGGAAAAAAUGGAAUCAGUUUUCCUCCAUUUUUUUUUAUUGCAAUUAAAGGUAAAGCAGUUUAUAAGCAUAUACUGGAAUUUUGACAAACGGCGUUAGGUUCCUUCGAAUUUAUUUUUCAAAGGAAAAAAGAGUAAAAUAAAAGGAAAAGAAAAAUGGGAACCUCUAAGAAAAAAACACACACGGCAGAAUCCGUCUUGGUUCUCCUUCUCUUUUCCUUAAAGCCACACCGCCCCACUUUUUCUUCAACCACCAUCAUCAUCAGCAUCAAACUCACGCCCGCAGUCUCCAUUUUCAUCCAGGUCACUUAUUGCAGUCGUGUUGAUUGUCGCCAAUCACCACCAUCUCCGAUCCGUUCAAUCCCCUACAAACCUCUUCUAGUCGGAGCUCCACCGAUAUUGUCAUUCGUCAUUGCAAGCGCUGGCCACGCAUUGCCGUAGCUGAAUUCACACGCUGUCGCCGUGAACCGUCGAACAGUGUUCUCUUCCUCCUCAUCCAAACCUAGCGCUCCUGCUCACGGGAUUGCUGUCGUUGAUCUGAACCCCAUUCACCUGGUCUGCUCCAGGAAGUCUGCACGGAAUAGGUAAGAGACAUCUAUCUACUUGCUCUCUUUUUCCCUCAAACUGAUGCAACAGCAACAAUCUUUUGGUUCUUAAAUCGAUUUCAUGCUUAUCUAUAAUCGGACUAAAGUUGAUGUCAAAUACUUGAUGAUAAAAAGUUUAAUAACAAAAAAAUUGUUAUUUUAGAUUUUGUUAGAUAGUAAUAUUGGGACAUCAUGAAUCUCUCUUCCAUUGUUCCUUUUACUAAACACAACUGACGUGAAAUGAUUUACACGAUCAGUACUCCCAAGAUCGAAGUAUUCAUAAUGGAAUCGGUAAUUUUAUCCUGAUCGCUGAGUGAUUAUUUUACACCGUCAAACGCAUGGGAAUUUCAAUCUAUGAAAUUGGGUUUUGCAACAAUGGAUAUUGUAUAAGAAGAUAGCUUCAAUCCUCUUAAGCAAAAAUUCACGGGACGUUUGCCAUAAUUUUGCCUUGCCAAACAAAACAAAUAUCUUUUGUCGUGUCUUUUACAUAUCCAGUUUUAUAAUAAAAAGUCAUUGUCAUAUAGAUAUAGUGGAUUUACCAUCAACCAAAGCAGGGCAGAUGAUUUGAUAAGGUGUUUGAAAUUUAGUAUUCUUUUAAGGUGUACCGAUGUAAUCAAUCAAGUCAAGUGAAUAGGGUCGCAAUCCAAACUUCGUGUGAAGUAGUUCCUUCCGAAGCCCCAAGGGUGUUGCGUGUGGAUGGCCUGUUUUCGUUGUGCGAAAACUGAUGAUAGUUCAGCGCAGAAAAACUAAUCCAUAUAUUUUCAUUCAAGACAGAAAAAUGUGUAGCUAUUCGCAACAAAUAAUUAAAUUUUGAAUUACAAAAAUCAAUUUUUUUAGAAAAAGAACACGCAUAGACUUGUCUUUUGUUUGAAAAAAAAAAGAUAUUUGUACAUCGGAAAUUUUUUUUGAGGUUAUUCAUCUUUUAUAAUGCACAUUAAUCUGGUAUUAAACAGACUUCGCAUAUUAUUCAACCCUAAAAGCCUCAACUUGUCAUUUUAUAUUGUACACUCUUAAAAGUGUGUAACUUUCUUAUAUUUGUCGACUCCCCUUUUAAGUUCUAAUGUAUACUAAAGAAUCUUUAGUCGGUCAUUUUUAAUUUUAAUUUUUGAAGGUGUCAAAGAAAUUAUGAUAUAUAAUCAAUUGGUGGGGCUGUGAAGCCAAGAACACAUCACUUCAUGGAUUUAAUAUCUCUCUCUCUCUCUCUCUCUCUCUCUCUCUCUCUCUCUCUCUCUCUCUAUAUAUAUAUAUAUAUAUAUAUAUGUAAUAUUUUCCCUUUGAGCCCGAGAGAUUGGGGACCAAUAAUGCAUGUGAUCGGCGAAUUAAGGGUUUAGUACAUGUUUUAGAAAUAAUUCAUUUAAAAAAAAGUGUGAAUGAAAAGUAAAUGUUUAUGAUCGUGCAUUCCCAUUCCCUCUACCAGAAAGUAAAAGAUAUGAUAGCGAGAAGGGAGAGGGAAAAAAAAUACAAAGUCACCACCUGAAAGAAGUGAAAUGCUCAGAUAAAAAAAAAACGUCAUAUUGUUAAACAGAUUAAUAUGGCUCUAAUCUCCUUGUGAAUUUUACAUUAUGAUGUUAUCAAAUUACGGAAAACUCGUCAUUUUUUUUUCUUAAUUGUAGACCAAUAUAAGACAAAAAUAAAAGAGGGAUUGCUUUCAUCCAAGGUAAAUAGGAAAUACAUUGUUGAAAGCAACCUUCUUGUUUGUUCGAUCUUUUCAUACUUGUCGGAAUCAUCAGAUCACCAUUGCUUGUGAUGGAGAGCACGUUAUGUCUGAGUGAACUUCACGCCUUUAUGAACGAUUCAGAAUACAUAAUGUUUAAAGAACGCUUCUAGAGAGAAUGCCUUCUUGCUGCACAAAAAGAUGUAGAUAAACAGACGAAAGGCUGGAUGGAGAGCACAUGCUCUCCGGACGAUUCUGCUCAUUGAUCGCAUAUUCUGGAUAUGUGAUCAAUGUAUGCUUUCAGUGGAAGUUACAGUGUUAAAACCUCGUAGCAAGAGUGCUGAGGUAAUAGUUGAUAAUCGGAAUCGCUUCAUAAGAGAAUCAUGGUCCUCUGAUCACAAAUUUUCUGUUCAUCAGUCUGAUGCAUAAAGUAUAAUUUUCAGUAGAUUAUAUAAUGUUAGAUGGUGAUUUUUUCACUCCUUCACUAUUUGCAAAGCGAACUAAACCAACUUGGUUAAUGGAUUAGUGAUGUGCCUGACCCUUUUUUUCUUGUUUAGGCAUGUGCUUUAUUUUCCUUAUUGAACAGACAAAAUUAGCUGCCUUUGAUCUCUUCACAUGGUCAUUCACGUUGAAGGAGGAAUCAGUAAUCUUAUCAUAUCUUAAACAUAUGCAAAUUUUCAGCACUGUAACUGUCAAGUAAAAGCCUAUUCACCAAUAAAGCAGAAAAAAAUGACAAAAUCAUAAAGAUUCUAACAAUAUAUGAAUCGAGAAAAGCCAACACAUCAGUCGUAAGCAAUGAAGUUUUUGAUAAAAAUACGUGUGCGCUCUAACUUGGUCAUGUGUAGAAAAAUCACAUUUUAUCCUCUAUUUGGAUAACCACAAGAAAAGUCUCGAUCUGAAGAAAAAGGGAGAACAAUUGACAAAACAAGCACUCUUGAGCAAAAAACUAUUUAUUUUGAUUUGUCUAACCUUUUGUAUGUGUCUCUUAAAAGUCUUGGUAUGUUUUUUUAUUCUCUUUGGUCAGUGAACGUCUUGGUCUUCCUAUAAUUCAUAGUUUUUGCUCUCCACUAGCUCAUUUUAACUUUGCUUCAUCAUAACACCUUUGUUGUUCUCUAUAGUGACCGAUUCACCCAUGGCCAUUGGAGAGAUCAUUUUGGGUUCCUUCUUGGCUUCCCUCUUUCAAGUCUUGUUUGAAAAGUUGGCUUCUCUCCCUUUGGGCUCUACACAACAAGAAGGAAUCAGCAUUGCCCCGCUCAAGGAGUGGGAGGAAAAGCUGACAAUGAUCAAUGCAAUGCUGGCUGAUGCAGAGGACAAGCAACUCGAAGGUGAUCAUCAAGUGAAGCUAUGGUUGGAUGAUGUUGGGGACUUGGCCUAUGACAUGGAAGACUUGCUUGAUGAGUUUGCCAUCAAUACUGCUCAAGUUAAGAUGGAGGUAGAAUCCAGCACAAGCAAAGGUCGAAUGAAAUGGAAGUUCUCUUGCUUUGGCCGAAAUAAACCCUCCAAAUGGAAUCCGAACCCAUCCUCACUCGUGUCUAAAACCAUGGUCCAAGAGAUCAAUGGUAGGUUGGAAGCGAUCGUCGACAGGAAGGCUCAUUUAGGCUUGAAAGUGAUCGUCAACGGGAAGGCCUGUUUAGGGUUAGAAGCGGAUGUUGUGAAUAGAUCCAACUGCAUCAAUAAAAGGGUUCCCACUAGUUCUCUAUCGGAGCGUCAGUUUUUUGGCAGGGAGGAGGAAGAAAGGGAGAUACUCAAACUAUUGAUCCAUGAGGUCAAAAAUGACACACCAAGCAUAGUCCCCAUAGUUGGGAUGGGCGGUGUUGGAAAGACGGCCUUGGCUCAGCAGCUAUAUAAUAAUGCCGAAGUGAAUAGCUAUUUUGAGAAGAGAGCAUGGGUUUGUGUCUCAGAUGUUUUUGAUGUCCUUGACAUAACAAAGACUAUUUUGCAAUCGAUCACCGGAUUGUCCAACGAGGGUAAAGAUCUUAAUGAGCUUCAAGUUAAGUUGAAGGAUAGUCUAUCUAGUAAGAAGUUUCUUGUGGUUUUAGAUGAUAUCUGGAAUGAGAAGCAUAAAGAAUGGGAUGCUCUCUUAAAGCCAUUUGAAGCGGGGGCUAAGGGAAGCAAGAUCAUCAUCACGACUCGCAGCCGUGAAGUUGCUUCCAUAACAAAAGCUUCACCAUAUCCUUUAAGGGAAUUGUCCUUUGAUAAUUGUGUAAGCUUAUUAGCAUAUCAUGCUCUUGGAGCAACAAAUUUUGAUAGCCACCUCGCCUUUGAAAUAAUAGGCAAGAAAAUAGCUGAAAGAUGUCAAGGUUUACCUUUGGCAGCGAAGUUGUUCGGCAGUGUCCUACAUACUAAGAAAACUCCUGAGGAAUGGCAAGAUGCCUUAAAUAACAAAAUAUUGAAUCUUCCGAUGGCAAAGAAUGAUGAGGUUCUUCCAGUUUUAAGAUUGAGCUAUGUCCAUCUUCCUUCCCAUUUGAAGAGGUGUUUUACUUAUUGUGCGAUAUUUCCUAAGGAUUACGAAAUUGAAAGGGAUGAGUUGGUACUCUUAUGGAUAGCGGAGGGAUUGUUAGAUGGACAAAAAACAAAUGAGAAUAUCUUGAAAUUGGGACGGAAUCACUUUGAUGAGUUAGUAUCCAGGUCAUUCCUUCAACAAUCAAGUAUCGACGCAUCUAAGUUUUCAAUGCAUGAUCUUUUGAAUGAUCUAGCAAAGUCAAUUGCAAGAAGGACUUGCUUUAGCUCGGGCAGCUCUCAGGUGGCAAGUAAUGAACAUGAUGUACCAUCUCUUGAAAAAACUCGUUAUGCAUCAUUCAUCCCAUUGUGGUAUGUUGCAUCAGAAUGCCUAAAACCAUAUCAAGGAAUGAAGGCACUAAGAAGUUUAAUUCUAGUGCGUGAUGGAUCUAGUGGGGGCUCUUUCUCUAUUUCCAACAAGGUGCUGCAUGACUUGCUAACAAACUUGGAGUACUUGAGAGUAUUCUCGUUAUGUCAUUGUAAUAUCGUAGAGGUACCGAAUUGUGUUGGUGAUCUAAAACAUCUUCGAUAUCUCAAUUUCUCAUACACUCAUAUCGAGAGGCUACCUGAGUCAAUUAGUGCCUUGUGCAAAUUACAAGCUCUAAUUUUAAGAGGUUGUAAUAAGCUUUCAAAGUUGACUCAAGGUAUCACAGAGUUAGUCAGCUUACAGUUUCUUGAUAUUAGAGAUACAGUGAGUCUAAAAGAGAUGCCGUUGGGUAUCGGUAAUUUAAAGAAUCUUAUUAUCUUGUCCAAAUUUGUGGUAGGACAAGAGAAAGGGUCGCGGUUGAAAGAGUUAAAGAACUUGCCACAUCUUGAAGGACAAUUAUUCAUAUCAGAAUUGCAAAAGGUGGAAAAAGUUAUAGAUGCAGCCGAUGCUAAUUUGCUUCAAAAGCUAGACCUUGCCAACUUAUCCUUGCAGUGGGAUAAACAUGUGGGAAAUCGCCAUAAUCAUGAGCUUGAAGCACAGGUGUUUGACUUUCUACAACCUCACACUAAUCUUAAAAAUCUCACUAUUUUGAACUAUAGUGGUGCAAGAUUUCCAUCAUGGUUAGAUUGUACGUAUUCUAAAAUAGUGUCUUUAUGCUUGCGGGACUGUCCUAAUGUUGUGUCGCUGCCUAUGAUUGGACAACUACCUUCACUUAAGGAAUUAUCUCUUAAAGGUCUAGAUGCAAUAGGAAGGCUAGGCUCUGAAUUCUAUGGAGGCAAGAUGCCUUUUUCAUCAUUAACAACUUUGAAGUUUGAAAAGAUGUCGACAUGGAGGGAUUGGUCUCCUUAUGUCGAGGGCCCAGAAAAAAAAGUUUCAUUCUCCUGUCUUAUGCAUCUUGUUGUCCGGGGCUGUCCUCUGUUGGUCGGGACAUUACCUGAUCGACUUGAUCAUCUCAUAAAGCUUGAAAUUCAUUCAUGUCCGCAUUUGGAAAACUCAACCAAUGUUUGCCUUCCAUCUCUCUAUGAGUUGUUCCUUGAGAAUUGUAACAAGGAGAUCUUGAAAAGCUUGGUCAACCUAACUUCUUUGACCAUUCUUACAAUUAAGAAUCUUGCAGAGCUUGUUUGCUUUGAUUAUGGGUUUAUGAGCCACUUGAUCAAGCUAAAGAAGCUUCAUAUAGUAGGGUGUGACCAGUUAAAAUACUUGUGGCAAGAUGGAAAUGAAAUGCUAAAUCUCACUUGUCUCCAAGAAUUAACCAUCGCAAGUUGUCCUCAGUUCACAUCAUUCGUGCCAAGAGAAAGAGAAAUAGAGUUGCCGUGCAACCUUGAAAAGAUGGAAUUGAGUAAUUGCACCAAUUUAGAAAAGCUUCCAAGCAAGAUGUACACACUCAGUUAUUUGUCUAUUGAACAGUGUCCAAAACUCAUAAGUCCAACCAUUUCUUCAAAUGACCCCAACAGCAACAACACGAGGUCUCAACUUCAAUCUUCAUGUACAAGUAAAUGCGAUUCUCUGACAUCUUUUCCCUUAGCCAAAGGUAGACUUGCUACUCUAAAGGAAGUUUCUAUUCGAGUGUGCGAGGGAGUGGAGUCGUUGGAAGAGAUCAUCGUAGAAUCGCUCGAAUGUAUGAGUAUUGGCAAUUGUGAGAAUCUAAGAAGCCUACCGCAAUACCUUCACACGUUCUCCCAUCUUACUCGCUUGUAUAUAAGUGACUGUCCAGCACUGGAGAUAGAGGACUUUCCUACCCUUCCCCUCACCCUAUCAGUUCUCAGGCUUGAGAGAUGUUCAAAGAUAAAAUCUAUUGCCAGCCUUAGUAAUCUCACUUCUUUGGGAAUGAGCGAGUGUCCAGCACUGGAGAUAGAGAAUUUCCCUCCCCUUCCCAUCACCUUGUCUUCUCUUACACUUAUAGAUUGUCCGAAGAUAAAGUCUCUGCCAAAUCGCUGGCGUCAUCUUACAUCCCUCCAGUACAUACUUAUUGUACGUUGCCAAAAUAUCAAAUGGUUGCCCAAAGGAGGUUUGCCUCCCAAUUUAGAGACCCUCGUUAUUUAUAAGUGCGAGAAUCUGGAGCCAGAGCCAGUGAGAGAAUGGGGCUUUCACCGGCUCACGUCCCUCACGUCUCUAGAUAUUGACGGAAGAAUCAUGGGAGGGGAGGGAGAGAAGGCGCGGUUUCCUUCGGGGGACGAGGACGAGGAGGAUGCGUGGCGUCUUCUCUAUCCUUCCUCUCUAACACGUCUUCAUAUAACAAAUAUGAGGAACGUGGAAAGAUUAUCACGCGGUCUUCGGAACCAUCUCUCCUCUCUCCAAGAGUUAUGGAUUCAAGAUUGCCCGAAGUUGAGGGACUUGCCAGAGGAUGGCCUCCCUCCCUCCCUCCAUACAUUCAUAAUUCAUGGAUGCGAGAUUCUAAAAGAUCGAUGCUCAAAACACACCGGUGACUGUUGGCCCCUCAUCCAAGGGAUCCGUUCCAUCUUCAUUGAUGGCUCUCGGAUCCAAUAAAUUGAUUCGUCCUGCUACGGUCAGGUUUUCUAGGGUUCGGGUAAGCUUAUGGUUUCGAAGGCAUCGAUUUCCCGUUCUGCUUCCUCAACUCGAUCCUCAAUACAAAUCGAUACUUUCCCAUGUAGAUGUUUCACGUAACUUUCUGGAAGUCCGAGAAAUCCCUAUCAUACGCAUUGAUUGGGUUCGGAUCCAAUGAAGUGAGAUCGAUCCGCUUUCGCUUUCAUUUGCCAAAUGCCGCGAUUCAUCCCAAUUGCACUGCUUGCGGAAAUUCCAUUCGACACUUUGCCAUGGGAAAGAAUUAAUUCGCAUAAAGCAUCGAAUUGAAGAACAGAAGCGAAAUUGAUGCAUUCAAGACCGAGAAACUUACCCUAACAGCAAGAAAACUGACUGUAUCGUGAAAUACAACUAAAAUUCAGGGCUGAAAGAAUGAUAUUUAGUUGCUUGAAUCCCAUCGAGAGCUUCCUUUGCCACUGCAGCAUCCAUCUCAUCUACUGCGUUGGGCCUGCUUUUCUCUUCAGUCACUGCAAUGCACUUUUGGAACACCCGAUCAUGACUCUGCUUCCAUUUUUACUGGAACACCCUUCAAAAGAGCUUUUUUGACCUGUGCAAGUGAUAGUUUUUAGUAUCUGGUGAUUUAAGGGUAAAAGUUACUAUAUUUUGAGCUUUCCAGAUAUACCAACAGGUCUAGGCAAUCAUUCCUAGGAGUCAUUAAGCAUACAAAUGAGUCACCAUCACUAGUGAUUGGUGGUCUCCCAUAUUUGUGAGUUAACAAAUCACAAGAAUUUUUCAAUGAAAAAAACAAAUAGAAAAUCAUCAAGAGGGUGUCCCACUUCAUUUUUCAUUGCUGUGAAUUGGGUAUGCAUAUAAUUUUGUUCUGAGCACUCUACGCAUGAAAGGUAAUUUUUAUUCAGGACUAAUUGCUUUGUCUUGUUUCAGAUUUUUGGCUGAGAAAUAUGAGGGAUGUGGAAAGACUAUCAACUGUGGACGAUGUAACAAGCGUGGAGUAUUCUGUUUCCUUCGUCUCUACAUCUCUUUGGAUGAGAACUAUGAGGAAUGGGGAAAGAUUAUCAAAUGAUCUUCACCGCUAUCUCUCCAUUCUUGAAUGGCUACAUUUUAUGGGUACUGGAACUUGCCAGAGGAUGGCUUCUUUCCCUCCUCCAAGUAUUCGGCACAAUGCAAUUUCAAAUUCUGAAAGAUUGAUGCUCAAAACUCAGUGGUGACUAUUGGCACCUCAUCCAAGAUAUCCAGCUCAUCGUAGUUGAUCGAGUUCGGGUAAUAUAAGAAGAUAUCUCUCCAAUGUCUAAUUUUUGUCCUUCAGGUAAUGAUUCAGACUUCCUUUCUUUCUUGCACACUCGUCAUUUAGCUACUGUUGCUGCUGCAGGAUCCAUGUCUAUUCUGAAAUCGUCAACUCAAUACUAAAAAGUUCAUGUUAUUCAAUGGACGAGCUUCACCUAAAUUUCCACAAACCAGAUACCGAAGGUCCAACAUUGACAUUUAGGUUGCUCUGUUUUGUUUAACAAGGAAGUACGCAAUGAUAUGGUUAAAAUGCUUGCAUCGUACAGCGAGUCAACCAUUGUUUUAUACAAGUGACUAUUCCUCAAAAGAAAUAAUACUUGCAUGGAUUUGCUCACAGUGCUGGAAUUAUGAUGCGUGGAUGUGCCUGUUUGAUGUUAUAUUUUGAACUUUUUUCAUCCCCAAAACUUGUUUAUCUUUCCACUUAUGCAAAUGCACUAUGCUUUGCGUGAGAAUCAUGAAGAAUUGUUGCUCUUAUAUUGAUAUUUUUCUGCAAUUUUAGCGUUUGUUGUAUUUUCUCUUCCAAAUAUCUUCUGUUUUAUGCUCCAGCUCAGUGACCUGAAUUAUCUCAACUGUGCUUGUUUGGCAAAACAUCCCACUGUCAUCUUUGCUUGGCAAAAUCUCUCGGUAGGAUCAAAUGCAAACACUGUCAAGUUAGGCAACUAAUGUGCUUAUGUUUAUCUUUUGCAACUUUACAAAAAAAACAAAAAACAAAAAAACAAAAGGCUAUUUAUUUUGGUAGGCGUACUGAUAUGCUCUAAACUGUUUUUUUUUAGUGACAUGCUCCAAAAGAUUAAUCCAUAUCAUGAUGUCAAUUUUCGAGUUCUAUAUUCAUGGUCAAAUGGAGAAGCUUUUUUACUUAUAACAACAGCAGCUACUGUAAAGAUGCAAAAAAUAGGAUUUAAAACAGGUGUUUUCAAGUUGGUGAAUAUGACAACAAAAUUUGAAUGAGCCCUGCAGUAUAAGCCAUUUACAUCUAAGUUCCUUGUUAAAGUUCAUCAUUCAUCUUUCUCCUAUUCAACUUCCCACACCAUCUCAGAGCACAUUUUCUUUUUCUUUGUUGUUGGGAAAAGGCGGAAAGGAGCAAUAAGGAAGACUAUGAUUUGUCCAAAUUCUGGGAUAUUUCUAUGGAAGAUUCUGAAAGAUCAAUGCUCAAAACUCACUGGCAACUAUUGGCCCCUCAUCCAAGAGAUCCCUCCCUUCUACAUUGAUGGUGUUCAAAUUCAAUGAAUUGAAAUUGAUCACACCUGAGCCAUGACAAAUGAUUUAUCUCCAUUGACUACUUUUCCUUCUUCAGGUAAUUCUAAUAACUUCUUUCAUUCUUUUGCUUCCAUUUGCUAUCUGCCGCAAUUUGUUGUUCCACCUAAAGUCAGCUUUCUGGGGUUGAGGUCAAUAUUUUUGGUUUGAAGGUAUCAAUUUCUAUUAUGUUCUUCAGUUUGAUGCUUAAUACGGAUUGAUUUUUUCCCGUGGAGAUGUUUCUCAUAGAAUUUCCAAAAACCAGCCACUGAAGGUCAGAGACUAACAUUUCGGUGUGUCGUGCGUGUCCUCGAUGGGGUCUUUUCUUUUUAGGCCAGCAACUCACGGUUGAAAUAAGCCAAAUGUGAUAAGAAGGAUGGGGGAUAUAGAUGUAGGUCCCAGUUUUGGCAAAGCUACCUAAUGGGCACAAGCAUUUGGUUUUCGUGAAAUACAACUAAAAUUUGGAGCUGCAAAAUGAUCUUUAGCUUCUUGAAUCCCAUCAGGCACGUCCUUUAGUCUUUAAUUGCACUGUUUGGGAAAAUUGAUAAUAUCCUUGUAUACCACAGCUGCAUUCAGCUCCACUACUACCUUGAUUCAGCUUUUUCUUUAGCUACUGCAAUGCUCUUUCGAACAGCAAGUAAUUCAGCCUCCUUUGCAGAUCUAGCUUGCACUACCACACCUCUGCAGGCAAUCAUCUUCCCUGUUUCAUUUCUGGCUGUAAUCCAAAUGACAGCAUGUUUAGUUCCUCCAAUGUAAGAGCCAUCACAGUUAAUCUUCACAAAACCUAGCUCAGGUUUACUCUACACACCUUGCCUUUCGUCCACCCAAUCAUGACCCAGCUCUCCUACAUUUUUACAAGAAACAUAGUUUGAAAGUGCUUUUUUAAUCUGUAGGAGUGACAGUUUCAGGAUCAAGUGAUUUAUGGUCGAAGAUUACUGCAUUUCUAGCAUUCCGGAUAUACCAACUGGUGUAGGCAAUCAUUCUUAAGCAUUAUCAGCCUGUACCAAGUCAUUCGAAUAUCCUAGCCUCAUAUUUGUAGAAUAUCAACCCAUACCAAUAAGUCACCAUCGCCAGUGAUUAGUGGUCUCCCAUACUUGGAAGUUUACAUAGCCAUAAGGGUUUUUUUAGCAAAAGGAAAAACCAUUCAAAGGGUCACUCAUUCCUGACAAUAAUAAAGCAAAGUAUCCCGGUUCUUGUCUUCUUUGCUUAUUUUUGGUUGCUUUUGGGUGGGUAUACAUAUGAUUUUGUUUGUCGGAUCACUCUUAUAGUUGUUCAUUAAGCAUGAAAGGCAACUGUUAUUCAGGACUAAUUGAUCAUCCCGUUCCAGGUUUUUGGAUGAGAAAUAUGGGGAAUGUGGAAAGACCAUCAACGGUGGAGGAUGUAUGAUGCAUGGAGUCUUCUGUUUCCUUCCUCUCUAACCUCUCUUUGGAUGAGAAAUAUGAGGAGUGGAAAGACUAUCAAGUGGUGUUCAUGGUCAUCUCUCCUCCCUCAAAACAGUUAUAUUUUCUAUGUUGCUCGAAGUUUGGGUACUUGCCAGAGGAUGGCUUCCCUCCCUCCCUCCCUCAACGUAUUCCACAUAAUUCAAUGUGAGAUUUUGAAGGAUGGAUCCUCUUUUGCGGGCAACUACUGGCACCUCAUCCAAGAAAUCUCACUCAUUGUGAUUAAUCUAGUUCGGAUCCAACAGGAAGAUUUCUCUCCACUGUCUUAAGUUUUGCUCUUCAGGUAAUGAUUCGGACUUCUUUCUUUCACACUUGUCAUUUAGCUACUGCUGCUCCAGGAUCCAUUUUCAUUAUGCUUCCUCAACUCAAUGCUAAAAUGUUAAUUUUUUUCCAUGGACGUGCUUCACAUAAAUGUCCACAAACCAGCUGCUGAAUGUCCAACGUUGACAUUUGGGUUGCCCUGUUUUGUUUACCGAGGAAGUACACAAUGAAAUGGUUAUAAUGCUAACGUGGUACAGCCAAUGACAAUUCCUCGAACAAAUAAUACCUCCAUGGACUUGCUCAUGGUGCUGGAAUUAUGAUGCGUCAAAUGUGCCUGUCUAUAUUGAUUAUAUAUCUAGAAUUUUGUGUGAUGGCCAAAAAUUGCUUAUCUCUGCACUUGGAUGACACAUAAAGAAUUUGCAAAUGGAAAUGCACCAUGCAUUGCGUGGGAAUUAUGAAAAAUUGUCACUCUCAUAUCGAAAUUGUUCUGCAAUUUCAACAUUUGCUGUAUUUUCUCUUCCAAAUAUCUAUUUCUUAUGCCCUAGCUCACUGACCCGAAUUCUCUCGACUGUGCUUGUCUUGCAGAAGAUUCCACUGUCAUCUGUGUCUGGCAAAAUCUCUUGGGCUGAUCAAAUGCAAAUGUUGUUGAGGUAGGCAACUGAUGUACUUAUGUUCAUCUUUUGCAACCUGACAAAAGAUCAAAAAAAAAAAAAAAAGCUAUUAAUUUUGGUAGGUGUAUCGAUAUGCUGUAAUUUUUUUUUCUUUUUGUGACAAGGUCUAAAUAAGAUUAAUCUUUAUCAUGAUGUUGAUUAUCAAGGUCUAUAUUCAAAGUCAAAUUAAGAAGCUUUAUUACUUUGAAUAACAGCUAUUGUAAAGAUGCAAAAAUGGGAUCUAUAACGGGUUCUCAACUUGGCAAAUAUGACAACUAAAUUUCAAUGAACCUGCAGAUUAUAAUCUAUUUAAAUCUGACUUUCUCAUUAAACUUCACAAUUCAUCUUUCUUCUAUUUAAAUUUUACACCAUCUCAAAGAACUUUUUCAUUUUCUUUGUUGUAAAGGAAAGGCGGGGAGGAGUAAUAAGGGAGACUAUACUUUGUUGCUCUGUUGAGUAGUCCUAAAAUUCCCACGUCUGCCACGAAGUAUUGUGAUUUAAAAUUGCAAGAAGGUCAUCAUCCAAUACCACUCACAACCCAGUUAUCUUGGGUAGGCAAGCCUUAUCAUUAUCCUACUAAGCUGCCAGAGCUCCAGUUAAUCUUCGCAAAACCUAGUUCAGGUUACUCUACAGACCCUGCCUUUCGUCCACCAAUCAUGACAGUGAUUUAUGUAGUGACAGUUCCAGUAUCAAGUGAUUUAUGUUUUUAAUGGUUACUGCAUUUCGAGCGUUCCAGAUAUACCAAUAGGCUUAGGCUAUCAUUCUUAAGAGUUAUCAGCUCGUACCAAGUUAUUCAAUCUCCUGACCUCACAUUUGUAAAAUAUCAGCCCGAAUGAAAAAGUCUCUAUCACCAGUGAUUAGUGGUCUCCCAUACUUGUUUGUUAACAUAAUCAUAAUAUUUUUCCAGCAGUUAAUAUAUAUAUAUCUAUCANNNNNNNNNNNNNNNNNNNNNNNNNNNNNNNNNNNNNNNNNNNNNNNNNNNNNNNNNNNNNNNNNNNNNNNNNNNNNNNNNNNNNNNNNNNNNNNNNNNNCAAUUUUUAUUCAGGACUAAUUGCUCGUCCUGUUUCAGACUUUUGGAUGAGAAAUGUGAGGACUGUGGAAAGACUGUCAAUGGUGGAGGAUGUAAGAAGCAUGGACUAUUCUGUUUCCCUUGUCUCUAUUUUCUCCUUGGAUGAGAAACAUGAGGAACAUGGAAAGAUUAUCAAGUGGUCUACCUCUCCUCUCUCAAACAGCUAUCUUUUGUAGGUUUUAUUGGUACUUGCCAGAGGAUGGCUUUGCUCCCUACUCCAAGUAUUCAGCAUGGUGCGAUGUGAAAUUCUAAAAGAUCUAUGCUCAAAACUCAAUAGUGAUGACUGUUGGCACCCCAUCUAAGAAAUCCCACUCGUUGUGGUUGAUUGAGUUCAGAUUCAAUAAGAAGAUUUCUCUGCAAUGUCUAAUUUUUAUUCUUCAGGUAAUGCUUCGGACUUCUUUCUUCUUCCGCACUUGUCAUUUAAUUACUGCUUCUGCUCCAGGAUCCAUUUCUAUUACAAAUCCUCAACUUGAUGCUAAAAAGUUCACGUUUUUCCAUGCACAAGCUUCACAUAAUUUGCCACAAAGCAGCUAGACAUUUGGGUUGCUCUGUUUUGUUUGAUAAGGAAGCACAUAAUGAAAUGGUUAUAACGCUAAUGGGGUACACAGCUAGUCCACCAUUUUUUCAUACGAGUGACUAUUCCUCAAAACAAAUAAUACUCAUAUGGACUUGCUCACAGUGCUGGAAUUGUCAUGCGUGGAUGUGCCUGUCUGGAUUGAUGAUAUAUCUUGAACUUUGUUUGGUGCUCAAAUAUGGCUCAUCUUUCCACUUAUGGAAAUGCACUAUGCUUCGUGUGAGAAUCAUGAAGAAUUGUUGCUCCUAUACCAAUAUUUUUCUGCCAUUUCAGCAUUUGUUGUAUUCUCUUCCAAAUAUCUUCUUUUUUUUUUUUUUUUUAUGCCCUAACUCAGUGACCUGAAUCCUCUCAACUGUGCUUGUUUUGCAGAAUAUCUCGCUGUCUUCUUUAUUUGGCAAACUCUCUCAGAAGGAUCAAAUGCAAACACUGUUGAGGUAGGCAAAUGAUGUGCUGAUGUUCAUCUUUUGCAACUUGACAAAAGAAAAAUAAAAGGCCAUUUAUUUUGGUAGGUGUAAUGAUAUGCUUUAAACUGUUUUUUCGGUGACAUGCUCAAAAAGAUUAAUCUGUAUCAUGAUGUCAAUUAUUGAGGUCUACAUUCAAAGUCAAAUGAAGCAGUUUUCUUACUUCCAACAGCAGCAGCUAUUGUAAAGAUGCAAAAAAUAGGAUUUAAAACCGGUGUUUUCGAUUUAGUGAAUAUGACAAUUAAUUUUGAAUGAAUCCUGCAGAUUAUAAUCCAUUAAAUCUGACUUCCUUGUCAAAGUUCAAAGUUCAUCUUUCUACUAUUCAAAUUCCCACACCAGCUCAGAGCACAUUUUCCUUUUUCCUCGUUUUCAAGGAAAGGCAAAGAGGAGCAAUCAGGGAGACUAUGCUUUGCCACUCUGUUAAGUCAUCAUGAAAGCCUCACGUUUGCCACGAUGUAUUUUGAUAUAAGAUUGUGAGAAGGCCGUUAUCCAAUACUACUCACAACCAUUUAUAUAUGGUAGGCAAGUUUUGUUACUCUGACCCUACCAAGCUGCCAGAGCUCACGUCACGGAUAAGACAAGAUUCAUGCGCCAUCAUCGCCAGGGGGUUAUCCUUGUGUCAUCGCGUUUGUGAAAUAUCAGCUUGUGCCAAUAGGCCACAAUCACUGGUGAUCAGCGAUUCCCCAUAGUUUUGCAUUAGCAUUAUCAUUAGGGUCAUUCAGGAAAAACAAGAUAUCAAAACUCACAUUUUUUAUUUGGAUUAGCAAUGGGAAGUACCCUGGUAUGUCUUGUAGAUUUUUGGUUGAAGUUGGGUGAGUAUGUGUAUAAUGUGUAUGUCUGAUUACUCUUGUAAUUGUUUAUUUCACACGACAAAGUAAUUUUUAUUGUGGGCUACUUGAUUUUCUCAUCCCAUGAUUUUUUUUGUUCCCAUUUUCAUAUCACACGCCAUAUAUUAAUCUUUUUGUUGAACUUGAAGAGUACGAUACAGUGAUUGUGAUUCUAUCGAGAUAAUUAUAUUGACUAUUGCGAUCGACGAAAGUUGGGGCAUUAAAGAAAUGUCUAGGGACUUAGUGAGGUGAAUUCCGUUUAACGAAAAAACAAAUGUUUCUUUUGUUUUUUUUAUCUGUUUCACUUUUUAUGCAAUUAAAAAGCAACUUUUUCUCAACGAUUUAUAAGAAUUUAAGACGUCUUCAAAACACUUAUCUUCAUCUGGUCAACUCGAGUUAGAUGCCUUUAUACGAAGUGUUACAAAUCUUCUUGUUUUUUGUUUACAAUAUAUGUUAAUACUUCACAUGAUUGAGUUGAAUAAGGAAUGUUUCAAGAAUACCUAAAUAUUUGUCGCUGAUGAAUUAGAUUUAUUGAUUUUUCGAACAACACUAUGUGAUAUACUAAUUUGUAGAUGUAAAUCAAUGAUAUAAGCAUGUAUAUAAGUUGGGGAUAUCAUUUGUUAAGGUUAAAAUAACUUUUGAAAAAUUUCCCCUUGUCAAAAAAAGAAAAUAAAAUAGAAGGCUUUUCCGAAACUUCAAAAAUUGUGGAUGCCAAAAAAUAAUGUCAAGUCAACUUUUUCAUUAUCCAUGAUAUGACAUUGUUCUUCUUUUCUCUUUGCCAAAAACAUUGAUAUAGCAUAAGAGGGAUCCAUCGUAGUCGAUGGUUCUUAAUAUUUAUAGUAGACUCUAAAUAAGAAAAAGCCAGUAAUAUGACAUUUCGAAUGUAAAGCGAUAUUGACACCUCGGAGUUUAUAUAUUUCCCUUAAUAGAAUGCCUAGUUUAACACCAAAGAGAAGCAAAAUAAAUAAAUAAAAAAGAAUUCCUAGUUAGUUACCCGAAACAAGCCCCUUCUUCAAAUUCUAUAGUGUGAAAUAAAAGUUAAAAUUUAAUAGAAAAAAGGAAGGUUUUAUACAUAUGUUUUCGAAAUGUUUCCGGUGCUCAAGUGCUAAAUGCGGAUCAACUUGAAUUUAACAAUUGCAAUAGUAUUAAGCCCUAACACCAUGCUGCAAAGGCAUUGAAUGGGUUGUCGUUGGUAUGUUGGGCCUAGAAAGAUAGAUAGCCCCAACUCUUGGGCCUUGAUCCAAAAAUGGAUCCGAUUUUACUGGGACUUGAUGUACAAUUUGGAUAACAAGGCAAAGAAGGUUGUUCGGCUAGGACAACACUCACUAAUUGUAGAACUAUUGAAUAGGCGAGCCUAGAUGGACCAAGUUGGACAUUAACCAUCAAAAUUCUUACCCAUUCCGCCCUAAGAUUUUGGAAAUUAUUAUACUUUCUUCUUAUAAAUAAAAGCAUUAGGGCAAGCCAGUGCCCAUGAAGAAAGUUACAAUAAAACCAUGUCGGGCGAGUCUUGGUAGCUCCGAGCUCUAAGAUAAGAGUCAUGGCCCCAGGCUUGCUCAAUUGUUUACCCUUUUUUGGGCUAGGUUGAGCUAAGCUUGAUGGACAAUUCUUUUGUCAAGCUAAGCUCGAUGAGCNNNNNNNNNNNNNNNNNNNNNNNNNNNNNNNNNNNNNNNNNNNNNNNNNNNNNNNNNNNNNNNNNNNNNNNNNNNNNNNNNNNNNNNNNNNNNNNNNNNNNNNNNNNNNNNNNNNNNNNNNNNNNNNNNAUGUGAACUCAUAUGAGCUCAAACUUAUGGUCUAUUAUGUGCGAAAACACACAAUCAGGUAUGGAGAACGAUGAGUUAUUACAAUGGCUCUCUUUAGAUUUAGUUAAUGACAGUGUAAUCUUUAUAAUUCCUGUCCUUCCAAAUUCUAGAGUGAUAAAGAUGAGUCGUCAUCAUCACCUAACAACAAUUUAUGGGACCAUACGGUGAGUCGACCAAAAGACAACUUCUGUCGAAGGAUUCAAUGCAAAACAAAAGCCGCGAGAAGAUGGUGGAAGAAGAAUUUUUAGCGAGGGAGAGCACUGAGUUCGGCAGAGCUCCAGCUCAGUUUCUGACGUCUCUCGGCCUUUGCUCCGACGACAACGGCUCCUUCUACUCAGCUCCUCGCCGUUCGAUCGCUAAAGCUUAGUUCUCUCUCUCUCUUUCUAUGGUUUUCGGCUUUUGGUUCAAUGAAUCGAACUGAGCUCUCUGUUUUUUCUUGAAUUUCCAGAGGAGAGACUUCUUCAUCGACUUUCCUCCUUCUCGGUUUCUGUUGAUGUCCCGGACCUUGGUUGUUGCCGAUGGUAAUAACUGAUGCGAAUCGCUGCUUGAAAAUGGCGUAUAUUAGUUCUUUAACGGGGAGGGGUUUUACCUGUUCGACAGAAUGCCUGACUCAGUCAUAGAUAGUUAAUUCCUAUUGCAUUCUGCUUACCAACGUUUUGAUGUCCCAUUGAAGUUGCACUGCUCGUCUCUUACUGCAUUUCCCGUAUAGAGUUGAUAGAAAUGCGAUUAUGUGUGCUUUUAGUAUGUCAAAUGUGGGUCACGUGCAUUUGAUGUUCGCUGUUCAUGCGUGCAUUUGCUGUGUUAACUGACGUUGAAGAUGUACAUGGUAUUACUCCUCUAUGCUGCUGGACGUGAGAAGUUCUGGUACCGAUGACCUACUUAUGACUUUAUAUACAUAGUCCUUGAGGUGCAUAAAUAUGCAUAGUGAGAUGGGCAUGUGUGGAUAUUGAUGGCUCAUCAAAUUGUCAUCGUUUCCAGCCUUAAAUAUAAUAAGGGUGUUUGCUGGCUGCUUUUGUUCACAUGGGGAUUGUGAGGAUUUCAAUAUCAUUUUGGUAGUGUUCUAGUUGUGUGAACAUAUAGAGAGAUGUCGCAUUGAUGUUACAUUUGUUUUCCAUCAAAUUGGGGCAAUUCAAGGCUUGAAACAUAUAAAAAAUGAUGAUAUUACAUGUUGCCCUGAUUCGAGUCAAGUAAAGCCAUUAGUUGUCUGGUGUUACUUGUGCAUAAUUGGACCUCCUCAGUAUGUGUAUCCAUGUAAGAAAGUGACGUUUUGGAUUCAUUAUGAGUGUGCAGGGGUGAAUUGUCUCAUUGUUAUGCUUGAAGCGUGCUUAAGUUGUCCUAGUAGCUUGCUGUCCGUAUGUAUUUGUGCAGUGAAUGAUAAACUUGCAUUUGUGGCUGGUGGGGUCUUCGUUCGGUUGAAGUGGUUAUUGGCGCUUUCUGUUGGGCCAAUGUGGGUGCCGUUUUUUCUCAUAUAGGACAAUAGUGCAUGGAUGAAAGUUGCUUUCUUUUGAGGUAAAGAAGUUGAGUAUAUUGAGCUAAAUCUUCACUGCAAUAUGUUGACUUCUUCUCAGCUUGCCCAUCAUGCUUUGAGAAUUGUAAAAAUAUNNNNNNNNNNNNNNNNNNNNNNNNNNNNNNNNNNNNNNNNNNNNNNNNNNNNNNNNNNNNNNNNNNNNNNNNNNNNNNNNNNNNNNNNNNNNNNNNNNNNNNNNNNNNNNNNNNNNNNNNNNNNNNNNNNNNNNNNNNNNNNNNNNNNNNNNNNNNNNNNNNNNNNNNNNNNNNNNNNNNNNNNNNNNNNNNNNNNNNNNNNNNNNNNNNNNNNNNNNNNNNNNNNNNNNNNNNNNNNNNNNNNNNNNNNNNNNNNNNNNNNNNNNNNNNNNNNNNNNNNNNNNNNNNNNNNNNNNNNNNNNNNNNNNNNNNNNNNNNNNNNNNNNNNNNNNNNNNNNNNNNNNNNNNNNNNNNNNNNNNNNNNNNNNNNNNNNNNNNNNNNNNNNNNNNNNNNNNNNNNNNNNNNNNNNNNNNNNNNNNNNNNNNNNNNNNNNNNNNNNNNNNNNNNNNNNNNNNNNNNNNNNNNNNNNNNNNNNNNNNNNNNNNNNNNNNNNNNNNNNNNNNNNNNNNNNNNNNNNNNNNNNNNNNNNNNNNNNNNNNNNNNNNNNNNNNNNNNNNNNNNNNNNNNNNNNNNNNNNNNNNNNNNNNNNNNNNNNNNNNNNNNNNNNNNNNNNNNNNNNNNNNNNNNNNNNNNNNNNNNNNNNNNNNNNNNNNNNNNNNNNNNNNNNNNNNNNNNNNNNNNNNNNNNNNNNNNNNNNNNNNNNNNNNNNNNNNNNNNNNNNNNNNNNNNNNNNNNNNNNNNNNNNNNNNNNNNNNNNNNNNNNNNNNNNNNNNNNNNNNNNNNNNNNNNNNNNNNNNNNNNNNNNNNNNNNNNNNNNNNNNNNNNNNNNNNNNNNNNNNNNNNNNNNNNNNNNNNNNNNNNNNNNNNNNNNNNNNNNNNNNNNNNNNNNNNNNNNNNNNNNNNNNNNNNNNNNNNNNNNNNNNNNNNNNNNNNNNNNNNNNNNNNNNNNNNNNNNNNNNNNNNNNNNNNNNNNNNNNNNNNNNNNNNNNNNNNNNNNNNNNNNNNNNNNNNNNNNNNNNNNNNNNNNNNNNNNNNNNNNNNNNNNNNNNNNNNNNNNNNNNNNNNNNNNNNNNNNNNNNNNNCAAAUAUAUGAUUGUGGAAACUACAAAUAUCUGAGGAUUUUGUCCAACAUUACAAGACAAGCACUUGUGGACGCAAAGUACUUUCUAUCAAUUCCUCUAACUACUGAUGUGCAUUCUUGAAAGUCUUGGUCUUUGUUUAUUGUUUUUGGUAGGUGAAAGUCUUGGUCUUCCUAGCUUUUAUGGUUCUCUCUCCCUUAUCUCUUUAUCACUUAGAUUCACCACACCCAUGCCCAUCCUCCUACUCAAUAGUUUUCUCUCUCCCUUAUCUCUUUAUCACUUAGAUUCACCACACCCAUGCCCAUCCUCUUGCUCAAUAGUGUUCUCCUCCUGCUCGUCUGAACCUAGUGCUCGUGCUUGCUGGAUUGCUGCCAUUGAUCUCAUCCCGUUCACCGGUCUGCUCCAAGAAGUCUACUCGGAAAAGGUAAGAGACAUCUAUCUUCUUGCUCUAUUUUUCCCUCAAAUUGAUGCAGCCGCAACUUUGCUAUCUAAAGCAUCUAAUGAGCAUUUAUUACCCGAGAGCAACCACCUAUUCUUUCUGAAAUCUUUCUAUUAUGGAGGCAAAGAAGGGGCAACAGAGCAACAGAAGUUUGGUUCUUAAACCGAUUUCAUGCCUAUCUAUGAUCCUAAUUAAAGUUGAUGUCGAGUUUAAUAACAAAGAAUUGUUGCUUCAAUUUUUGUUAGAUAGUAACAUUAGGACAUUAAGAUUAAUUUUUAAUCUCCUUAUAAUUGAUUUCUUUAGGGCGCGCAUGAUAACCAUUAUGUUUCAUAAAUAAUUUAUGGAACGGAAAUAGAUUUUUCUAUUUCUAUUUCUAGAAGAGUUUCUAAGUAAAAAUAACCGUUUGAUAACGACACAAAAUUUCUUCUUUUCGGAUGACGGCGGAUUGGCGAAUGGCGGCGGGGCCCGGCGGCCAGUGGGCGACCGAUGGACGGUGGUCGGUGGCAACGAAUGAAUGACCAAUUGACGAGCGAUGAGAAAAAAAUUUAUUUCUAAUUUCUAUUCCAGAAAUAUAGAAGUAGAAAAUUUUACUUCCGAUUUCUAUUACAAACCUAUUUUUGGAAUAGAAAUAUAUUCCAGAAAUAGAAAAACGGAAUAAGUUUAUCAAACGGAUUUAUAUUCCAGAAACAGGUUUGAAAUAGAAAAAUUGUUUCUGGAAUAUAAAUUACUGGUUGUCAUGCACCCCCUUACUAAACACACACUAACAUGGAAUGAUUCUACUUGGUACAAGUUUGGGAUUUUACAUGAAAUAAUCACAUAUCUAUUUGGAAUUUUAGUCCAUUAAAUUGGGUAAACAACAAUAAAUAUCGUAAGAGGAUAGCUUCUUUCCUCUUAGAAGAGAUUCAUUCACGUUUACUAUAAUUUCACGGUGCCAAACAAAAUAAAUAACUUUUGUUGUGUCUUUUCAAAUAUUUAUUGUUAUAAUAAGAAGUCCUUGUUAUAUAAAUAUGGUAGAUUUACCAUCAACCGAAAGGGGUAAGGUGAAUUAAUAAGGUGCUUGUGAUUUAGUAUUCUUUUAAGGUGCACCAGUGUAAUCAAUCGAGUUAAGUCAAUUCGCAAAUUAAACUUCACAUGAAGUAGUUUCUACGGAAGCCCCAAGGGUGUUGCAUGUGGACGACUUGUUUUCAUUGUGUGAAAACCAAUGAUAGUUUAGUGCUGGAAAACUUAUCCAUGUAUUUUCUUUCAAGAUAGAGAAAAAUGUGAAGGUGGUUGUGAUAAAAAAAAUUAAAUUUUGAAUUAUGGAAAUUAAAAUUGUGCUUCGUUAAAAAAAGACCACACGAUGACUCAGUGUUUUGUUAGAGAAAAAGGUAUUCUAUGUCGGAAAUUUUUUAGAGAUUGUUCAUCUUUUAUAAUGCGCAUUAAUCUGGUAUUAAACAAACUUCGCAUAUUAUUCAACCCUAAAAACCCAACUUGUCAUUUUAUAUUGUACGCUCCUAAAAGUGAGUAACUUUCUCAUAUUUGUUGACUCCCCCUUUUGAGUUCUAAUUUAUACUAAAGAAUCUUUAGUCGGUCAAUUUUAAUUUUAAUUUUAAUUUUUGAAGGCGUCAAAAAAACUUAUGAUAUUUAAUCAGUUGGUGGGGCUGCGAAGCCAAGAACACAUCACUCCAUGGAUUUUUGCUCUCUCUCUCUCUCUCUCUCUAGAGAGAGGGGGGACCAAUAAUGCUAUGACACCCCCCAACAUCCCCCAAUCCGUUAGGGUCGCCACACUUCUUUCCUCAUCCUAGAUAUCCUUCUUUCUUAUAUCAAUGGACUUCGGAGAAUCCAUAUGGGGGUCUUAUUACACAUUCUUUGGUCCCUACGCAAUGUAUAUGGCGGAAGUGAAUCCAACAACUCCCUUCCUAAACACUGAAAUGAUGCACACUAGAUACACAUAGAUAUCGACCAAGCAUUUUUUUAUUUUUUUUUAUUAACGUAAACUUGAUAGACGUCUUUUGUCGGUACAACAAAAGCCAAAGUUUCCUAUACUUGGCUAUAUGAAAAACUAGACCAACAUUUUCCAUUAGCUACUCACAAGUCGUCUAUCAACAAGUGUCGGUGUCCAAAAUUUCGUUGUUGACCUCAUGUCCUCGAUCACUCUUCAAGAUGACGAACUCCUGAUGCCCGGAACCCAAGGGUAGGCCAGUGUCGAACAUCACUAUCACCCUCACUCAAAUGAAAGUUAGGAUCCUGAUGCUCUGUCUGUUCCCAUUGUAAAUCAAUAGGGAUCCCAUAGAAAGUACCAAGAGGUGCGAGCAGCAGAAACAUCGUCCUUACUCUGAAAUAUGUUAGUCCCCACGAGAAGUGAGUACAACCACUCAGCAGCUAAAGAUCUACUAAACUAUAUUAUGUAGAAUCAUUGUCAUAUGAUUUCAUGCAAAAUCCACAAAACACAUCAAUAAAAGAAUAGAUGCGCAUUAAGUCAAUAAAGCUUUUCAACGAAAUGGCAAGCGCAAUUUAAUAACCAGAACACAUCAUUUCAAUCAUGUGGGUCUUGAUUAUAAGGCCAAAUCGUUAUGACACGUUCUAUACCAUGUCACACAAUUUUAUUCCAUAAUCAGGCGCAACUAUCAAAAUGGCGUAACUCAGCAGCACAAUCAACUUUAAAACUCAAUAGAUUCGUGAUUCACUAUCACCUACUCCCAGAGGACUAGUGUUUGCAUCACUCCAGGCAUUCGCACCCAACUUGGCAUCACGAAAGCCUUCGGUUCAUAUUUCAAUCAUUGGGCAUUCGGAGCGUGUCAUGUCUCACUUCUAGCAUCUCGCACCUAACCUAGCAUCACGACGAUUCAGCAUGGCUCACUAUGUUACUANNNNNNNNNNNNNNNNNNNNNNNNNNNNNNNNNNNNNNNNNNNNNNNNNNNNNNNNNNNNNNNNNNNNNNNNNNNNNNNNNNNNNNNNNNNNNNNNNNNNGUCAUAGCUUACAGAUCCCGACACCCAGGGAACCUCUGGGGCUCACCACAAUAAUGGUGUCCAACAGGCAUCCAGAGCGUGUCAUGUCUCACCUCUAGGCAUCCCAUCUCCUGAGACUUCGUCAUCCUGAGGGUUCGACGGUAGCAAUAAUAUAUCAACCAUGGUGUAGUCAUUUAAAUCAAAUCAAUGCCAAAACAUUUUCAAAGGCACAUCAAUACCACAACAAUAGUUUUUAAAACAUAUGUCAAUCCUAUAUCAAUGAAAUCAAAAGCACGAUACAAAAUCCAUAAGAUUCACUUCCACAGUUAAACCUCUAAUAGGUUUCGAAAUUCACUUAUAAAUCCUCAAGCCGCACUUGCGCCUCACGGCCUGAAUUGAAAAGGUUUAUCAAAACUGUAAGUAAUUUGAAAUCGGCAUAUCGGCAAUUCCAAACCUCACUCCCGACUUCAAGGUUUUUAAAACGGUUCAUGUAAAAGUUUGAGAUUUCUAGGACACCAAACAUUUUUCUUUUCUUUUUAAAACAUUUGUGAGCAGCACCUCGGUACAUAAAAAUUUCAACACAAAUUGGGAGGUUUUCCAAAACAGUUUAUAAGCGGAAUUCUCAAAGCUUUACAAACGCUAAAAUUGAUGCAUAUUUGAAGUCUGAAAUCACAUGUAUUAAUAAAAACUAUAAAGCUUCCUCAAUCAUCUAGCCCCAAACAAUUUCGGUCAUCCUAUAUAUCACCAUUCAACACCAAAUUCAAACAAUCCAACCUAACAAUGCACUUCCUCAGUCAACAACGGCACUACAUUAUAUAGGUUAGUAGACUCCAACUUGCCUUAGGUCCAGUGGCAUUGAUGGUGAGCGGACUGCAAGCUACCAGCUACGGUUGAUGUGAAGAGAAGCAACAACGGCGUGCGGUGAGGCGUGAGCCAAGGCCUCUCGAGUCUUGCUGCGGCAGAGGGGCGGCAACAGAUUUUGAGCUGCGACGCUGGUGGCAGGCGGUGGUCUUCGGCAACAAACCGAAGGUGAAGCGAUGAGACUUCCUGAGGUGGUCGGCUUGGCUAUCUGUGGGUGACUCAACAACGAUGAGGGGGUCGGUGACAGAGUGGUGUGGUGGUGCGACUAGUAGCUAGGUAUGGGAUGGUGAGGAGGCCGAUGGCGUGGGAUACAGCGGUGUGGUGUGGGUGGUUGCCUACCGGUGGCCUAAGAAGCACGGACACUCUCCGGAAAUCUUCGUGUCGUGUCCGACACUUUGACACGUUUUCGACACGCGAUCAAUGAAUGUUGAAAAAUCCGACACUUGGUCAACUCUUCCCAACACGCUCCGACACACGAGUCCAAAAUUUCGACACGUAAUUCCGACAUGCACGGGGUCAAUUUUAAAAUUUUCAAUACUUGAGGGGUCAAAAUAUAAAUAUAUAAAAUAAUGAAAUACAAAAUAAAGAGACCAAAGAAAUUCUCACUCUCAAGUUCUUACUUNNNNNNNNNNNNNNNNNNNNNNNNNNNNNNNNNNNNNNNNNNNNNNNNNNNNNNNNNNNNNNNNNNNNNNNNNNNNNNNNNNNNNNNNNNNNNNNNNNNNNNNNNNNNNNNNNNNNNNNNNNNNNNNNNNNNNNNNNNNNNNNNNNNNNNNNNNNNNNNNNNNNNNNNNNNNNNNNNNNNNNNNNNNNNNNNNNNNNNNNNNNNNNNNNNNNNNNNNNNNNNNNNNNNNNNUUGAGAGUUCUUGUCUUAGAUUUUCAUUUUUCUUAAACCUUGUUUUACAGAGGAGCUCCAAGCCAGUCUAUAUCAUGAACUCCGAACUUUGUCUAGAACUAUAAGAAAUCUCACUAAUUUCUAACGAUUGUAAGAAAACAUGACAUGUUCCUUCAAAUUUACUCUUUUGGGUUUGCAAUUUUUAAAUUUCUUAUUCAAUCUCUAUCAAAUUAAAAUAAUGAAUGAUAUUAACAAAUGUUGAAUUAAUAUUUUUAGUAUAAAUUAAUUAUAUGCUCUUUUUAUUAUUUAUUUUUGUAUUUAUAUAUAAAAAUAUAUAUUUAAUAUAUAACGUGUCAAAACAUGUCGAAAAUCUCUAUUAUUUGAGAAAUAUCGUGUUGUGUCGUAUCGUGUCGUGUCGUGUCUUAUGUCACGUGUCUAUAUCGGUGCUACAUAGUUGGUUACGAUGCCUGAGCUAUGGAAGACCUUCGACUGAGAGUUCGCUGCCAUCAUCAAAGGGGUGGAGAACUAGAGAAAAUGAGGGGAAAGAAACUCGGCUUCACCGGAUGCAAGAGGAAAUCAAUCCCUCUUGGCCGUUGACUCCUUGAGUCACGCGUGCGGUGACAGCGAAGAGGCGAGGACAGCUCGAGCAGAGCGUGGCUGUCCUUGAAGAAUUUUAGUCGCCAUCUGUCCCUUCCCAUGCGUAGACGCGUCUUCCCUUUUGUUGACUGCAUGGGUCAACUAAGCGGGCCUUCGCGGCAGUCAACAGGAGAGGAAAUCCGGUGCCGGUCGAAGGACGUCUUGCAUGUCCAUGCAAGAGACGUGUCCGAUUCCUUGCUCCUGCACUCGGUACGCUGGUCGAAGAAGGAGAGGGGCGUGGCAGCAGCUCGCGUGCAGGAUGUGGGCUUCAAGGAGUCAAAGUCUUCAAAUAGAUGUCCAGUUGAAGAAAUCGUGGCUGCAUGGUCAACCUUGCAUGCAUGCUGGACGUGGCUGCUCCUUCGGUCAAAAUCUUCCAUUUUUGUUGACCGGUUGAACUGCGAGAGAGAAGGGGCUGCAUGGUUCUGUACGUGCAUGGGGGAAAGGCAAUUUAUUUAGGGCUAUUAGGUGGUCAAAUAUCCUCCUUUGUUGACCCCCAAAUGGACGUAUGCAUGGCUAUGCAUGGGCGAGUUCCUCGAUCGCGUGAAGGAGGGGUACCUUGAUGGGGCCACAACUUCGGGAGUCGACGUCUCCGUGUGCUUGAAAACUCGCUUUAAUAAGGUGCAAAUGCGGAAGAAAUGGGUCUCACGGGUGGCCUUACGUGAAAAGAUUCCUAGAUGAGAUGUUAUUGCGAGAAUGUGAUGAAAUGUGACGUUUCGAUGCGGUGAGAGUGGUGACGAAACGGCGACCAAAAGUGGCGCCAACAACAUAGUCCGACGACAAAUCCGUUGACCCAUCACAGAUAGUUACAUAUUCGAGGUCUGGCGAAAUCCGGAUGUCACAUUAAGGGUUUAGUACAUGUUUUAGAUAUAAUUCAUUGAAAAAAAAAGUGUAAAUGAAAAGUAAAUGUUUAUAAUCGUGCAUUCCCGCUACCAGAAAAUAAAAGAUAUGAUGAGAAAAGGGAGAGGGAAAAAAAAUACAAAGUCACCACCUGAAAGAGGUGAAAUGCUCAUACCAAAAAAGAAAAAUCAUAUUGUUAAACAAAUUAAUAUGGUUCUAAUCUCCUUGUGAAUUUUUCAUUAUGAUGUUACCAAAUUAUGGAAGACUUGUCAUUUUUUUUUCUUAAUUGUAGACCAAUAGAAGACAAAAAGAAAAGAGGGACAUUUGCUUUAAUUCAAGGUAAAUAGGAAAUACAUUGUUGAUGGAGAGCACGUAAUGUCUGGGUGAACUUCACACGAUUCAGAAUACAAAAUGUUUAAAGAACGCUUCUAGAGAAAUGCCUUCUUGCUGCACAAAAAGAUGUAGAUAAACAGACGAAAGGCUGGAUGGAAAGCACGUGCUCUCCGAACGAUUCCGCUCAUUGAUCGCAUACUUUGGAUAUGCGAUCAAUAUAGGCUUUAAGUGGCAGUUACAAUGGUAAAACUUCGCAGCAAGAUGAUGACGAUGAUCUGCCGAGGGGUGCUAAGGUAAUAGUUGAUAAUCGGAAUCGCUUGAUAAGAGAACAAUGGAUUGAUGCAUAAAGUAUAAUUUUUAGUAGAUUAUGUAAUGUUAAUUAAUGAUUAUUGACUCCUUCACUAUUUGCAAAGUAAACUAAAGCAACUUGGUUAAUGGAUUAGUUGGUGCACCUGACCUUUUUUCUUGUUUAGCCCAAAGCAUGUGCUUUGUUUUCCUUAUUGAACGGACAAAAUUAGUCACCUUUGAUGUCUUUACAUGGUCAUUCACAUUGAAGGAGGAACCGAUAAUCUUCUCAUAUCUUAAACAUAUGCAAAUUUUCAGUAAUGUAACCGCCACAUAAAAGCCUACAUUGAUCGCAUAUUCAACAAUAAAGCAAAAAAACAAGGACAAUGAAAUCAUAGAGAUUCUAAUAAUAUAUGAAUGUGUGAAAAGCUAACACAACACUCAUAAGUAAUGAAGUUUUUGACGAAAAUAUGUGUGAGCUCUAAGUUGGUAAUAUGAAGAAAAAUCACAUUUAUCCUCUGUUUUGGAUGCCCACAAGAAAAGUCUGGAUCCGAAGAAAAGGGAGAACAAUUGACAAAACAGGCACUCUUGGACAAAAAACUAUUUUAGUUUGAUUUGUCUAAACUUUGGUGUGCAUCCCUUGAAAGUCUUGGUCCUUUUUUUAUUCUUUUUGGUAAGUGGACGUCUUGGUCUUCCUAGAAUUCACAGUUUUCUCUUUCUAUUAGCUCAUUUUACUUUACUUCACCAAAACACUUUGUUGUUCUCGACAGUGAUUGAUUCACCCAUGGCCAUUGGGGAGAUCGUUUUGGGUUCCUUCUUUCAGACCUUGUUUGACAAGUUGAGUUCUUUGGCAUCAGACUAUGUGCAACGGGAAGGAAUUGACACCACCAUCCUUGAUGAUUGGAAGAGGAUGCUAGUCACAAUCAAUGCAGUGGUGGAUGAUGCAGAGGAAAAGCAACUUAGCGGUAAUUGUCUAGUGAAGCUGUGGCUCGAUGAUGUUAGGGACUUGGCCUUUGACAUAGAAGACUUGCUCGAUGAGUUCGACAUCAAAGCCACUCAAGUUAAGUCGGAGGUAGAAUCUAGGACAAGUAGAGGUCAAUGGAAAAGGAAGUUCUUUUCUUUUACAUGAUCAGGCUCACUCAUGUCUGACACUAAGGUCCAAGAUAUCAAUGGUAGGGAUUGUCAAAAGGAGGGAUUAUCUAAGUUUGAGAGACAAUGUUGUGGACAGAUCCAACUACAGCAACAAAAGGGAUCCCACUAGUUCUCUGCCGGAGCCUCGGUUUGUCGGUAGGGAGAAGGAAGAAAUGGAGAUACUCCAACUAUUGAUCUGUGAGGUCAAAAAUUCUGAUGCCACACUAAGCAUAGUUCCCAUAGUUGGGAUGGGCGGUGUUGGAAAGACGGCCUUGGCUCAGCAGCUAUAUAAUGAUGCCAAAGUGAAUAGUUGUUUCAAGAAGAAAGCAUAGGUUUGUGUGUCAGAUGUUUUUGAUGUCCUUGACAUAACAAAAACUAUUUUGCAGUCGAUCACUAGGUCGUCCGAUGACGACAAAGAUCUUAACAAGCUUCAAGUUAAGUUGAAGGAUAAUCUAGCUAGGAAGAAGUUUCUUGUGGUUUUAGAUGAUAUAUGGAAUGAGAAGUAUGAAAAAUGGACCGCCCUCUUAAAGCCAUUUGAAGCGGGGGCUAGCGGAAGCAAGAUCAUCAUCACGACUCGCAACCUUAAUGUUCCAUAACAAGAGCUUCACCAUAUCAUUUGAGGGAAUUGUCCUUUGAUAAUUGUAUAAGCUUAUUGGCAUUUCAUGCUCUUGGAGUAACAGAUUUUGAGAGCCACCCGGCUUUUAAAAUAAUAGGCAAGAAAAUAGCUGAAAGAUGUAAAGGUUUACCUUUGGCGGCAAAGAUGUUGGGCAGUGUCCUACGUACUAAAAGUAAUCCUAAUGAGUGGGAAGAUACCUUAAAUAACAAAAUAUGGGAUCUUCUGAUGGCAGAGAAUGAUGAGGUUGUCCCAAUUUUAAAAUUGAGCUAUGUCCAUCUUCCUUCCUAUUUAAAGAGAUGUUUUGCUUAUUGUGCGGUAUUUCCCAAGGAUUACGAAAUUGAGAGGGAUGAGUUGGUACUCUUAUGGAUAGCAGAGGGACUUUUAGAUGGGCAAAAAGAAAAUGAGAAUAUCUUGAAAUUGGGACGGAAGCAUUUUUUGAUGAGUUAGUAUCCAAGUCAUUUCUUCAACAAUCAAGUAUCGAUGCAUCUAAGUUUUCAAUGCAUGAUCUUUUGAAUGAUCUAGCAAAGUCAAUUUUGGGUGGGACUUGCUUUAGCUCAGGGGGGUCUCAGGUAGUAAGUAAUGAACAUGAUGUAUCAUCUCUUGAAAAAACUCGUUAUGCAUCAUUCAUCCCAUCGUGGUAUGUUACAUCAAAAUACUUGAAACCAUAUCAAGGAAUGAAGGCACUAAGAAGUUUAAUUCUGGUGUGUGAUCGAUCUUGUGGGGGCUCUUUCUUUAUUUCCAACAAGGUGCUACAUGACUUGCUAACAAAAUUGAAGUACUUGAGAGUAUUCUCAUUAUGUCGUUGUAACAUUGUAGAGGUACCGAAUUGUGUUGGUGAUUUAAAACAUCUUCGAUACCUCAAUUUCUCGUACACUCAUAUUGAGAGGCUACCUGAGUCAAUUGGCACCUUGUGCAAAUUACAAGCUUUGAUUUUAAGAGGUUGUCAAAAGCUUUCAAAGUUGCCUCAAGGUAUCACAAAGUUAGUCAGCUUACAGUUUCUUGAUAUUAGAGAUACAAAUAGUCUAAAAGAGAUGCCGUUGAGUAUCAGUAAUUUAAAUAAUCUUAUUAUCUUGUCCAAAUUUGUGGUGGGACUUGAGAAAGGGUCGCAAUUGAAAGAGUUAAAAAACUUGCCACAUCUUGAAGGAGAAUUAUUCAUAUCAAAAUUACAAAAGGUGGAAAAAGUUAUUGAUGCAGUUGAUGCUAAUUUGCUUCGAAAGCUAGGCCUUACCAACUUAUCCUUGCAUUGGAGCGAACAUUUGGGAGAUCUCCAUAAUCAUGAGCACGAAGCACAGGUGCUUGACUCUCUGCGACCUCACACUAAUCUUGAAAAUCUCGCUAUUUUGAACUAUCGUGGUGCAGUAUUCCCAUCAUGGUUAGAUUGUACAUCCUAUUAUAAAAUAGUGUCUUUCUAUUUGUGGGAUUGUCCUAAUGUUAUGUCGCUGUCUAUGAUUGGACAACUACCUUCACUUAAGGAAUUAUCUCUUAAAGGUCUACAUGCAAUAAGAAUGAUAGGCUUUGAAUUUUAUGGAGGUACAAGGCCUUUUUCAUCCUUAACCACUUUGAAGUUUGAAGAGAUGUUGGCAUGGAAGGAUUGGUCUCCUUAUGCUGGGCGCCCAAAAGAAGAAGUCUCAUUCUCCUGUCUUAAGCAUCUUGUUGUUCGGGGCUGUCCUUCGUUGGUCAGGAGAUUGCCUUGUCAACUUGAUCGUCUCACAAAGCUUGAAAUUCAUUCAUGUCCGCAUUUGAAAAACUUAACCAAUGAUGUUUGUCUUCCAUCUCUCCAUGAGUUGUUCCUCGAGGAUUGUAACAAAGAGAUCUUGAAGAGCUUGAUCAACCUAACUUCUUUGACCAUUCUUACAAUUAAGAAUCUUGUAGAGUUUGUUUGCUUUGAUCUUGGGUUUAUGAGCCACUUGAUCAACCUAAAGGAGCUUCAUAUAGGAGGGUG